Long non-coding RNA from Leopardus geoffroyi (Geoffroy's cat), 2435 nucleotides. RefSeq lists it as uncharacterized. The record is from RefSeq and is a predicted model, not a curated record. NCBI's taxonomy places the organism in Eukaryota, Metazoa, Chordata, Mammalia, Carnivora, Felidae. The transcript is spliced from 5 exons.
GAGAUGAAAUCAAGAGUCGGAUACUCAACUGACUGAGCCACCCAGGUGCCCCCAAAAUUAUUUCUAAUUAAAGAAGUGGAACUUAACAAGCAAUGGUAAUGAAACUUCAGCUGAAAAAUACUAGACUUUCUAAUGCAUUUGGAUAUUAGGAGCUGUGAUGCCUUGAACUUCAUCUGUGGACUCUAAAAAAUGCAAAAGAGCUGGAGAGAAAUGGCUACCUGCUAUGGAAGACCAGGCCCACCCUGUAUCCUCAGCCCUCUGCUCUCUCGCCUUUGGGCCUAAAACUAUGUGUGAACAAGAAGAGCAGCUGUCACUAUAUGUAUGAAGGCACCCAGCUGGGGGUGGACAACAUCGAGACCUGCAUCCAGAAGACAUUUUGUGGCUCCAAGGAAGGACAAGGUCCUAGGCAUGAGGUUGCAGGGGAAUAAAUUCCCCCAGCUACAUCCAAAUGGGAUGCUUGACCAGACUGUCAGCUUGCUCCCUGGUAUUACAACCCCAUACUGAAAAGCAAUCCACAUAAGGAGCUCCAGCACCAGCAAAAGUCUAAAGCUUAGAUUUCUUAAAGAGGAAGAAGAGUCACAGAGAAACCUAUAGAGGAUCCCCUCCCCCCAGCCCCAGCCUGUGCUUAAUUAAGUGAGUGGCUUAAGGGACUUGCCUCCUCUUCAAGAUUAAGAGGUGGGUGUGAAUAUUUUCCUCUGGCCCCCUUAUAUGUUCUUGAUUACAGUAAUAAAAAUGCUAAGCUCUAUUGCCUCUCACUGGAGUAAAGGCAGCUGAAAACUCCUCAUUCCCUGAAGAACCUAAUUGUUGAUUCUAGUGCAUCUAAACAGGUGUUCUUUAGAUUGCUUUUUCUAAUGCCUUUUCACUGGAAAGAUCAAUUUAAAUGUUGCUUUGAGCUAAUCAGUGAUUGCUUCUGUAUUCAUCCAAAUUUAUAUCUUUGCUUCUGCGUGCUAGAUGAGACAUUACUUUCAAAGUCUAUAAACUUAAAUAAGGGAGGUGAUUUCUAAUUUAGCUCUUUGUCCUCUUCUGUCUUCCAUAUUUUAUGCAAAAUAUGCAUGUAUUUCUUUUUGUUAUUUAAAAUCCUAGUUGAAACCUGUGUUUGAACAUCCUGAGUCAUCUUUGGAUGCCCUAUAACGCCACGUGUGGUAUGUCCUAUGAGUGGGUAUUCAAUAAAUAUUUGUGGAAAAGAUAAAUUCAUGCCUUAACCUGGAUUGCAAGCACAUUGGAUUUGUGGUCCCUAGGUGUCUGAGUUCAGGAAUUCUUUCAAUAUUGUCUGAACUUUCUUGUGUCUGCAUCUGUGUUUAUUCUGCUCUCUCUGCCUAAAAUUUCCCCAGUCCCGUCUCUCAGAAAGCUCACGUUCACGCAAGGUUCUCAUCAAAUGCCAGCUGCUCCAUGAAAGCAGGCUGCAGUCUCCAACCAGCUCUCCUGGAGUCAGUAUCCGAACAAGGGAUCUGGAGAGGGUUGCGUCUGAUUUUCCAAACCCCACGAUUUCUUGCUGAAGACCCAUGUGACAGGACUAUAAAUUUUCACCAGAAAUUGAUGGGAGAACGGACACUUCAAAGUGCCUGAAAGACUUUGCAAAAGGUCCCAAUUAGCAGAAUGCAGCUAACACCUUAAAAAAAGAAAAUAGAAUAAAUGUUGCAGUGGGAAUGAAUCUUGCCUGGAGUGCUGGGUUGUUGGCUGAUUGCCUGGCGAGAGUGGUGGCCAGGACUUGCCAGCUGGCUGAUCCACACGCCUAUAAAGGAUGCGGUCAGCUUACACCUUGGCAAGCUACGAUUUUGAUGGAAAUCUUAGAGGUCGGCAGGCGUUCUCCCUCGUAAAGUACGUUAGAUCAGGUCAUUGCUUUUAUUUGAGUGAAGAAAAUAUCCUGAUGGCCAGGAUUAGGAGCACCAAGUCAGUACUCUGCUCCAAAGGAGAAUUCAUUACUGCAUCAGAAGGGAUAUAUGCCCUAAAGGAGACAGAGGGUGUAAUUGAAGGUGGCACAUUCAUCUAAUCCCCACGUUAAACCAGUCAUGCCACCGAAGCAAACCAACUGGCUCGCCAACAACCACACAUCUUCCCACAAGUUCCACUCAACAACCAGUUUUUCAAACUCUGAACUCCAAAGCUACUGCUUUCCUAUCCUCUUAUGUUUACUCAUAUUUACCUGUGGGUAGUUGUUUCACUUGUUUGUUUUGCAUAGAUCUGACUUCGAGGAUCAGAUGCAAACAUUCUAGUAGCCCCACAAUGGCUAGCUUAGUGCUUUUCAUCUGGAGGCACUCCAUGAAUGACAAAGCAGCCAAAGGAGCUUCCAUAGUCCACAGUCCAUCCUGAAAAUUUAAAAACCAGUUUUAAAAAACUGACAACCUCUCUAUCAGUCUCCCAAAUGGAUUUAUUUUUUUGAAAUUUAUUAAAAACUGAUUUUAGGGCACCUGGGUGGCUCAGUCGGUUAAGCGUCU